AGUAAGAUACUGUAAAAUGUAUAUACAGUAUUUUACUGUAAACUGCAAAGGAUUAUGGGAAAAUGUAUGGUCACUACAGUAAACUACUGUAAAUUUACAGUAGUGAACUUGCCCGCGAAAAACUGACCAAUGGCAAGGGAGAUUUAUUUUGUUUGCUGUUUGGUGGAAGCAGCGGUAAAAGGACAAAAGAGACACUUUGCACUGUUAACUAGACAAAAAGCAAACUAACAUCCAUCGUGUCGUUUUUCAUGUCGGAGUUGAGGCCUUUUUUUCUGACUGACGGCCGGAUUAACGCCGCCAUAACGGUGAUAACAUCGACUGUCUAGAUUCGACAACGUCGGAGGUGUAUUUUGGCGCCUCUUCUUGUGACUGGCAUAGUUUCGAUGAUAACAUCAACUGUUUGUGGUCUUGUGGUCAUGUCGUCUGCAUCGGAGGAGUAUUGGAGUCUUUUCCUGUGAUUGACGUCGUAACAGCAGGAGAUUUCUCCAAGCAAAAACAGGAUCCUGAAUAUGAGGCAGAAUCAUCGUACAGCCAGCUGUCCGUUUUACAGAAAUGCAGAAUUAGGUUCAUUCAGAUCUUUGUGGCACCAAAUGCAUUGAAAGUCACAGGUCAGCUGGCAUUCUGGAAAGAGGGUGCAAAGAAAAAGGAUCUGCCUGAAUCCCAUCCUGCUGUUUCUCAUCGGAGAGCUUGUCAACUUUGACUGUCAAAAUUACUGAAAUUUAACACAACACAAACUCAUUUUUACUGUUACUAUUAUUUGAUUUUUAUUAACACUACCAGUCAAAAGUUUUUGAACGGUAAGAUUUUUAAUGUUUUUAAAGAAGCCUCUUCUGCUCACCAAGCCUGCAUUUAUUUGAUCCAAAGUACAGCAAAAACAGUACAAUUUUGAAAUAUUUUUACUAUUUAAAAUAAAUGUUUUCUAUUUGAAUAUAUUUUAAAAUGUAAUU
Onychostoma macrolepis is the source of this 947-nucleotide long non-coding RNA. RefSeq lists it as uncharacterized. NCBI's taxonomy places the organism in Eukaryota, Metazoa, Chordata, Actinopteri, Cypriniformes, Cyprinidae. The record is from RefSeq and is a predicted model, not a curated record. The transcript has 6 exons.